Molecule: transfer RNA, 79 nt
Filed under: Thermochaetoides thermophila DSM 1495
Lineage: Eukaryota; Fungi; Ascomycota; Sordariomycetes; Sordariales; Chaetomiaceae
Description: Chaetomium thermophilum var. thermophilum DSM 1495 tRNA
Rfam family: tRNA
About the family: Transfer RNA (tRNA) molecules are approximately 80 nucleotides in length. Their secondary structure includes four short double-helical elements and three loops (D, anti-codon, and T loops). Further hydrogen bonds mediate the characteristic L-shaped molecular structure. tRNAs have two regions of fundamental functional importance: the anti-codon, which is responsible for specific mRNA codon recognition, and the 3' end, to which the tRNAs corresponding amino acid is attached (by aminoacyl-tRNA synthetases). tRNAs cope with the degeneracy of the genetic code in two manners: having more than one tRNA (with a specific anti-codon) for a particular amino acid; and 'wobble' base-pairing, i.e. permitting non-standard base-pairing at the 3rd anti-codon position.
Source: Rfam by way of RNAcentral
GCCCGCAUGGCUCAGUGGUAGAGCGUGACACUAGUAUGGAGCUAUGUCAAGGUCGUCAGUUCGAUUCUGGCUGUGGGCA